UCUUAUGUACAUUCCUACAAUGCUAAUGCAUUAGAUCCCAUCAUAACAUUGCAGUUAAGCACACUUGGGAUAUAGUAGUAAUGGGAAGGGUGACCUCUGAGGAAUUCCAAGUGUAUUACAU
This is a non-coding RNA of Picea glauca (white spruce), 121 nucleotides long. NCBI's taxonomy places the organism in Eukaryota, Viridiplantae, Streptophyta, Pinopsida, Pinales, Pinaceae. The record is from Rfam.